GACGGAGGGAGCAAGCGUUGUCCGGAUUUACUGGGCGUAAAGCGCGCGUAGGCGGCUUGUUAAGUCGGCUGUGAAAUCGCUGGGCUCAACCCAGCAAUUGCAGUCGAUACUGGCAGGCUCGAGUCCGGGAGAGGGAAGCGGAAUUCCUGGUGUAGCGGUGGAAUGCGUAGAUAUCAGGAAGAACACCGGUGGCGAAGGCGGCUUCCUGGACCGGUACUGACGCUGAGGCGCGAAAGCUAGGGGAGCGAACGGG
RNAcentral lists this ribosomal RNA (253 nucleotides) under uncultured bacterium. RNAcentral describes it as "partial 16S ribosomal RNA". It matches the Rfam family "Bacterial small subunit ribosomal RNA", at positions 524 to 776 of the family's 1533-position model. The record is from RNAcentral.